AGCUUUGUGCAGUAGCAAUAUCGUAGCCAAUGAGUUUUAUCCAAGACAUGAUUAUUGCUAAUUGAAAAAAGCAUAUGUGUGUGUGUGUGUGUGUGUGUGUGUGUGUAUAUACACAUAUAUACAUAUA
This 127-nucleotide small nuclear RNA is filed under the name Myotis brandtii (Brandt's bat). RNAcentral describes it as "U4 spliceosomal RNA". It matches the Rfam family "U4 spliceosomal RNA". From Rfam's summary of the family: U4 small nuclear RNA (U4 snRNA) is a component of the major U2-dependent spliceosome. The structure of U4 snRNA from yeast and human has been reported. The record is from Rfam by way of RNAcentral. Lineage: Eukaryota; Metazoa; Chordata; Mammalia; Chiroptera; Vespertilionidae.